Molecule: ribosomal RNA, 1155 nt
Filed under: Gramella sp. MAR_2010_25
Lineage: Bacteria; Pseudomonadati; Bacteroidota; Flavobacteriia; Flavobacteriales; Flavobacteriaceae
Description: bacterial SSU rRNA
Rfam family: Bacterial small subunit ribosomal RNA
Source: RNAcentral
UGCCUUUAAGCGGGGAAUAGCCCAUGGAAACGUGGAUUAAUACCCCAUAGUCUAUAAACUUCACCUGGAGAUUAUAGUAAACAUUUAUGGCUUAAAGAUGAGUAUGCGUCCUAUUAGUUAGUUGGUAAGGUAACGGCUUACCAAGACGGCGAUAGGUAGGGGUCCUGAGAGGGAGAUCCCCCACACUGGUACUGAGACACGGACCAGACUCCUACGGGAGGCAGCAGUGAGGAAUAUUGGACAAUGGAGGCAACUCUGAUCCAGCCAUGCCGCGUGCAGGAAGACGGCCCUAUGGGUUGUAAACUGCUUUUAUACGGGAAGAACCACAUCUACGUGUAGAUGCUUGACGGUACCGUAUGAAUAAGGACCGGCUAACUCCGUGCCAGCAGCCGCGGUAAUACGGAGGGUCCAAGCGUUAUCCGGAAUCAUUGGGUUUAAAGGGUCCGUAGGCGGGAUAAUAAGUCAGUGGUGAAAGUCUGCAGCUCAACUGUAGAAUUGCCAUUGAUACUGUUGUUCUUGAAUUAUUAUGAAGUGGUUGGAAUGAGUAGUGUAGCGGUGAAAUGCAUAGAUAUUACUCAGAACACCUAUUGCGAAGGCAGAUCACUAAUAAUAUAUUGACGCUGAGGGACGAAAGCGUAGGUAGCGAACAGGAUUAGAUACCCUGGUAGUCUACGCCGUAAACGAUGGUUACUAGCUGUUCGGCUCGAUUGAGAGCUGAGUGGUUAAGCGAAAGUGAUAAGUAACCCACCUGGGGAGUACGUUCGCAAGAAUGAAACUCAAAGGAAUUGACGGGGGCCCGCACAAGCGGUGGAGCAUGUGGUUUAAUUCGAUGAUACGCGAGGAACCUUACCAGGGCUUAAAUGCAGUUGGACAGGUCUGGAAACAGACCCUUCUUCGGACUAAUUGCAAGGUGCUGCAUGGUUGUCGUCAGCUCGUGCCGUGAGGUGUCAGGUUAAGUCCUAUAACGAGCGCAACCCCUGUGGUUAGUUGCCAGCGAGUCAUGUCGGGAACUCUAGCCAGACUGCCAGUGCAAACUGUGAGGAAGGUGGGGAUGACGUCAAAUCAUCACGGCCCUUACGUCCUGGGCCACACACGUGCUACAAUGGUAGGGACAGAGGGCAGCUACCCCGCGAGGGGAUGCGAAUCUUCAAACCC